UACGUAGGGUGCAAGCGUUUGUCCGGAAUUAUUGGGCGUAAAGAGCUUGUAGGCGGUUUGUCGCGUCUGCUGUGAAAUUUCGGGGCUCAACCCCGAACUUGCAGUGGGUACGGGCAGACUAGAGUGUGGUAGGGGAGACUGGAAUUCCUGGUGUAGCGGUGAAAUGCGCAGAUAUCAGGAGGAACACCGAUGGCGAAGGCAGGUCUCUGGGCCGAUACUGACGCUGAGGAGCGAAAAGCGUGGGGAGCGAACAGG
RNAcentral lists this ribosomal RNA (255 nucleotides) under uncultured bacterium. RNAcentral's name for it is "partial 16S ribosomal RNA". It matches the Rfam family "Bacterial small subunit ribosomal RNA", at positions 524 to 776 of the family's 1533-position model. The record is from RNAcentral.